GGUCAGCGACUUAUAUUCUGUAGCAAGGUUAACCGAAUAGGGGAGCCGGAGGGAAACCGAGUCUUAAUUGGGCGUUAAGUUGCAGGGUAUAGACCCGAAACCCGGUGAUCUAGCCAUGGGCAGGUUGAAGGUUGGGUAACACUAACUGGAGGACCGAACCGACUAAUGUUGAAAAAUUAGCGGAUGACCUGUGGCUGGGGGUGAAAGGCCAAUCAAACCGGGAGAUAGCUGGUUCUCCCCGAAAGCUAUUUAGGUAGCGCCUCGUGAAUUCAUCUCCGGGGGUAGAGCACUGUUUCGGCUAGGGGGCCAUCCCGGCUUACCAACCCGAUGCAAACUGCGAAUACCGGAGAAUGUUAUCACGGGAGACACACGGCGGGUGCUAACGUCCGUCGUGAAGAGGGAAACAACCCAGACCGCCAGCUAAGGUCCCAAAGUCAUGGUUAAGUGGGAAACGAUGUGGGAAGGCCCAGACAGCCAGGAUGUUGGCUUAGAAGCAGCCAUCAUUUAAAGAAAGCGUAAUAGCUCACUGGUCGAGUCGGCCUGCGCGGAAGAUGUAACGGGGCUAAACCAUGCACCGAAGCUGCGGCAGCGAACGUAUCACUUAAAGCGAUUCAGCGGGUUACGAUUGACGGAGCGAAGCGACGUCAAAGCGUAUACAAAGUCGAGUCGGUUUAAGGAUACGUUCGUUGGGUAGGGGAGCGUUCUGUAAGCCUGUGAAGGUGUGUCGUGAGGCAUGCUGGAGGUAUCAGAAGUGCGAAUGCUGACAUAAGUAACGAUAAAGCGGGUGAAAAGCCCGCUCGCCGGAAGACCAAGGGUUCCUGUCCAACGUUAAUCGGGGCAGGGUGAGUCGACCCCUAAGGCGAGGCCGAAAGGCGUAGUCGAUGGGAAACGGGUUAAUAUUCCCGUACUUGGUGUUACUGCGAAGGGGGGACGGAGAAGGCUAUGUUGGCCGGGCGACGGUUGUCCCGGUUUAAGCGUGUAGGUGUGUGUUCCAGGUAAAUCCGGUUCACUUUAACACUGAGGCGUGACGACGAGGCACUACGGUGCUGAAGCAACAAAUGCCCUGCUUCCAGGAAAAGCCUCUAAGCAUCAGGUAACAUCAAAUCGUACCCCAAACCGACACAGGUGGUCAGGUAGAGAAUACCAAGGCGCUUGAGAGAACUCGGGUGAAGGAACUAGGCAAAAUGGUGCCGUAACUUCGGGAGAAGGCACGCUGACAC
This 1220-nucleotide ribosomal RNA is filed under the name Salmonella enterica subsp. enterica serovar Corvallis. RNAcentral's name for it is "partial 23S ribosomal RNA". It matches the Rfam family "Bacterial large subunit ribosomal RNA", at positions 618 to 1757 of the family's 2925-position model. Lineage: Bacteria; Pseudomonadati; Pseudomonadota; Gammaproteobacteria; Enterobacterales; Enterobacteriaceae. The record is from RNAcentral.